UGCCCCCUGGAAAUGGGCAAAGAAACUUCUUAUUUGUGGUGAUGUUCUUAUAUCAGUCAGAGGCAGAGCAGAUGGCACUCCAUUGUUCAUCCUAGCUUGAUGCCUGGCUUGGUGGCCAAAGCCGUUUUUAUGCUUAGGACACAUAA
Small nucleolar RNA from Arvicanthis niloticus (Nile rat), 146 nucleotides. RefSeq annotates it as small nucleolar RNA SNORA48. Lineage: Eukaryota; Metazoa; Chordata; Mammalia; Rodentia; Muridae. The record is from RefSeq and is a predicted model, not a curated record.